CGUGCCUCCUCCACCCAACCCCCCACCUCCAGCCUCCCCCAGGCUCAGCACACUUCCAGCCCUGGGAUUAGGGGAUGCUAACCAGUGGUUUAGUAAAUCUAGGGACCACCUGGGAAGUUCCUCCCAAGACCUUGGCUGGGCUGCUUGGCCUAGACUGCCAUACCCAGAGGUGGGGUCUCCGGGCAGCGGGGAGCCCCUCCCGCUGAGCUCGCUUCUGCCCUGGUCGCCCGGGGCAGGGGGGCUUGGCACGGCUGUCUCCGAUGGCCCCAGUGGGAGGGUCACGGCUAAGACACCCGGCCCAUCUCAUUGUUUCAAGCCGGCUUCCUCUUCUGGCAGAGGCCAGCGGCUCCCGCUGAGCGGGAAGGGGCCGGGACGCUGCUGGAGCCCUCGGGAUGUCUACCUCUGCUGCUCCUUCCCCUCUCCAGGAGCUCGCGUUUCCCGGGGUGUGUGAGCAUUCUCAAUAAAAAGGGAAAAGCACCAUCCAAGUGAAUUUUCCAACGCCGAGAGGAAAUGCUGUUUCCUGCAUCGUACAAGACUGGUGCCAAUAAGACUGCUACAGGAGCCCAUUGUCCGGCUAACAAUGUGUGAUGGGGAAGGGCGCCUGAGAAAACAGACCCGGGGCCACGGCUUGUGCUCCUCUGGUGGGCUCUCAAAGAUGGGAACAGACUGGAAAAACAGCAAAGAAGAGCAUAGAAAUGGAAAGAAAAAAGGAAAAACAACAGUCUCCAGGUCACUCCGUGUAGAGCCACUCAGCAAGUCCCCUGGCUGCCGACGCUGUGCGGAACCCAGCAGCCUCGUAGUCAACAUGGGACAGCACCCAGCCCAGACACAGGUGCUAGAGCGCCAGUGUCCCGUGCGUGCCCGGCGGGGUACCCUGCGCCGGCGGGCCCGGAGGUGAUGGAGCUGGGAGGCGACUGGGCGUGCGCACACCCGCACACCGGCCCGGGCCCACCUGGGCGCCCGAGGUCAGGGCCUUGGCCAGAGUGUCACCUCCCUGCCCUCGGCGCUCACGUAGUCGGCGUGUUCGGGACGUGAAGUGCCGACCCAGAGGCUGCUCCGGCCAGGGCAUGGGCUGGGCGAUAAACAAUCACACAGGAUACACAACACCCUGGACUGUCACAAGUCCCUCGCAGGAAAAGAUAAAUAACAUCUGAGGAGCCGCGGGCGCAGCUUCCCCCAGCAGAACAAAAAACUCUGGAGAAGUAAACAACAGGGCCGGGAAGAGUUCACACACUAGCCCUGGAGGCUGAGAGAGGCCACCUCUUCCCCGGGGGCCGCUUACUCAGGGGCUCCUUCCAGCGCAAAUGACACGCACGCACACGCACAAAGGCACGCACACGCACAAAGGCACACAACACGCAUGCAUGGUUCAAAUCGAGCCCUUUACAAUGAUUGGCAAAGCAGGGCAUAGUGGCACAAACCUACCUAUACUGCACUUCCCAGGCAGGAAGUCGCAGGCCAGCCUGGGCUACGUAAAGGAAACGUAUUGUACCUGAGCUACAUACCAAUGAACAAGAGAUUGGCAGUUGUCACACUCUGGGUAGGAACCUUGUUUUCUGGGCUCUGCAAGAGUUGUCUGUGCAAGAGGCAAGGAGGGGAGGUGUGUUUUUCUGGACUGGAAGACUGAGGAUUUCCUGUAAAUACAACUCUUUCCUUAAGGUUUGCUCUUGGAGUCAUAGUCAGUGACAUGAAACCCACCCUGGUCACCUGUAAAGGAAAUCACAGCUAUCCAAACCCGAGGAACACAAUGAAUGAAUACAAUAAAGUGUUCAAGAUACACACUCAAGGGUCCACUUGGUGACCUUUGUUACCUCUCACCUGGAGUGUGAUUUUCCCAAAGCAGCCCUCCCGUUCCGUGAGCCUCCUGUGGGCCGGCCAGACCUCUACACUGCCCUAGCUGCUGCACACAGAUUUACAUCCCUACCACAGCCUGCUCUCCUCUCUGUAUCCUUCGAUUCAGUCAUGUUUGUCUCCUGGCAAAUAAUUGGCUGUGGUGGUUUGAAUGAAAACGGUCACCUUAGACUCGUACAUUCAAAUGCUUGUUCUCCAGUUGGCAGGACUGUAUGGGAAGAAUUAGGGAGGUGUGCCACUUUCAAACACCCUGGCUAUUCCCUAAGUUAGCUCUUACAUCUCCCAGGAUGGAGGCUCUCAGCUACCGCUCCAGUGCCAUGCCAGCCUGCUUGCCGCCACGCUCCCCAUCACGAUGGUCGUGGACUCUACGCCUCUGAAACUAUAAGCCUCCAAUAAACUCUUUCUUCUCUAA
Molecule: long non-coding RNA, 2263 nt
Organism: Peromyscus californicus insignis
Lineage: Eukaryota; Metazoa; Chordata; Mammalia; Rodentia; Cricetidae
Exons: 2
Source: RefSeq, a predicted model, not a curated record